AACCCAAUUUUUGGCAGUCAUGAGGGAAUACCUAGAGUCGCUUUGUGAAAACCUGAGGUCUCACACAAUUACUAAUGUACAAUCGAACGAUGACAGGGUUUCUAUACUACUUAAAGAUAGUUUUAUCCACUCUUUUCCGGUCAAUGACCAGCCUUUCAUUAAGCUGUUUGUAGACACACAAUUAUUCACUGUUCUAUCAGAUUCUCGUCUGUCAAGUUAUGAGAAUGAGCGCUAACUUAAAAACCCCACCCCACCA
This is a long non-coding RNA of Hibiscus syriacus, 256 nucleotides long. RefSeq lists it as uncharacterized. The record is from RefSeq and is a predicted model, not a curated record. Lineage: Eukaryota; Viridiplantae; Streptophyta; Magnoliopsida; Malvales; Malvaceae. The transcript is spliced from 3 exons.